AUUGAACGCUGGCGGCAGGCCUAACACAUGCAAGUCGAACGAGUGGCGGACGGGUGAGUAAUGUCUGGGAAACUGACCGAUGGAGGGGGAUAACUACUGGAAACGGUAGCUAAUACCGCAUACCAUCGGAUGUGCCCAGAUGGGAUUAGCUAGUAGGUGGGUGAACGGUUCCCCUAGGCGACGAUCCCUAGCUGGGCUGAGAGGAUGACCAGCAACACUUGAACUGAGACACGGUCCAGACUCCUACGGGAGGCAUCAGUGGGGAAUAUUGCACAAUGGGCGCAAGCCUGAUGCAGCCAUGCCGAGUGUAUGAAGAAGGCCUUCGGGUUGUAAAGUACUUUCAGCGAGGAGGCGUUACUCGCAGAAGAAGCACCGGCUAACUCCGUGCCAGCAGCCGCGGUAAUUC
Molecule: ribosomal RNA, 406 nt
Filed under: uncultured bacterium
Lineage: Bacteria
Description: partial 16S ribosomal RNA
Rfam family: Bacterial small subunit ribosomal RNA
Source: RNAcentral